AUUUUUACACAUUAUAUUAAAUUUAUCAAAACCAAAAGCAAAUAAUCUUACGACAAAAUUAACAAGCAGCAGCGCCACUCAAUAAGCUUUAAAACAAUUCCCUCCUACCCCACCAACAAAAAGAUCCGAUAAUAUUUUGAGCAGACCUGAUCCUGUAAGAGGGAGCGUUAGUAUAUGGGCUCGCUCCAAGGUAAAGGUCGGACUUGCAUAUGCUCCCCUUUUCAAAUCUCUCUGCUUGUUCGAUUUACUCGGACUGCACUAGAAUUCGAUACCUCAUGCAAUAAUAUCCAUUAAUAACAAUCCAACGAUUUUAAUAUAAUAUAAUCUCCGAAGACAAUAAUACCUGUUUUAAUUACAAUUUCAGUUCCAGAAGGUAAAUUAAUCAAAGUUGAAACCCUAAUCUCGAGUUCAAAUCCUACUUAUAUUAAAUUGAGCAGACUGGCUUCUUUCUUUUUAACUCCAGCAACCACUAACUCACAUUUCUUAAUCAACAAGGACUUAAACAUCCAAAAGGAGCACUAAAUAUUGUAUGCAAAAGAGUAUCUGGUUUCGAUAUUUGUAUUACUAUAGUCUAUUGAUAUUGGUUUUGAGUACAAUUUUGUGAAGAUUCAAAGAAUUGAUAUAAUUAUAGUCUCAGUUAUCAAAGUUCGCUAUUAUGGUCAGAAGUGGAAUAAAAUUGUGAUGCUAAAUCCUUGACAAUUUGAACCAAACCUUUCAAGUCAUUGCUUCCCAAUUCAAGGCAGUCCCUUAAUAAUCCACCAUCCACCACCUCUCUCUGCACCGCCUCCGCCACCUCCUUCAAAGCUUCCUGCCAAAUCCAACCCAAAACGCAUAAACACUUCAAAGAUCUUCAAAAAAAGGUUGAAGAGAACAUAAAUAUCAAGCAUCGUACCGAUCGAUUAAACACGUGGAUAAACCUUUUUAACACCGACUUAGCAAUUCUUACGACAUCACUGUAGUUUCUCGCAACCCAAGAGACUCUCUCCACCUGCGAUUCUGCCCUAGUUAACUGGGCCAAAAACCUAGCCAACUCAUUUAAGUCCGAAACGAUGCCGUACAGCUCCGUAUAAUCCAAUUCCCUCCACGCGUAGUUUUUCGCAUAAUCCCACCCUACCGACCACGCCAAACCCCAGAACCCAGAUCCUAACCCUUUCUCCAACUUCUGAGCGAUUAGCUUCGCACGAUUUGCGCCGGCUAUGUCGCCGCGUGCAGCACGCAGGUUGGACACGCGUAUGAGUAGGGAAUGGGAGAGGGAGACAACUGUUUUGUAUUGGGAGUAAGAGCUGAAAAGGGAGGAUGGAGCGAAACUGGUGGUGGUGGUGAGAAGGAGGAAGAGGAAGAGGAAAGAGGGAGCUAGCGGUGGAUUAAUCCGGUACAUUGGCUUUGAAAUUAUCAGACGGCGAAGGAUUUUCAGUUGACGAGUUGGGAGACGUGACUUCUGUGAUUAAAUGGAGAGAAG
Molecule: unclassified non-coding RNA, 1459 nt
Filed under: Hevea brasiliensis (rubber tree)
Lineage: Eukaryota; Viridiplantae; Streptophyta; Magnoliopsida; Malpighiales; Euphorbiaceae
Source: RNAcentral